Long non-coding RNA from Acanthopagrus latus (yellowfin seabream), 1044 nucleotides. RefSeq lists it as uncharacterized. NCBI's taxonomy places the organism in Eukaryota, Metazoa, Chordata, Actinopteri, Spariformes, Sparidae. The transcript has 2 exons. The record is from RefSeq and is a predicted model, not a curated record.
ACUGGGGAUGGGGUGGGGUGGGGGGGCAGCCCCAGCAAAGACAAACACCCUUGCGUUUGAUUCGCAUUGCUGCCUCAGAUACAUGCCUGCAUUCAGUGAAGAACUUGCAGUGCUGAGUUAUAAACAGCUCCAUUUGUAAAUGUGGCCUUGAAAAAGGCAAACCCAUCUCCGUCAUGGUUUUCGUAACACAUUUUGUACCAGAAUUGUUCGCUUUCCCAUGCAGCAGAGCAGCCUCAGUAACUUACUGGAAUCUAAUGUUUGCAACAUGGCCGCCUCCUGCUCCCAGAAGCCUUCACCAUCAGUGCCAAGCUAGCAAUAUUCAAGCCUACAGCAGAAGACUAUGACAAACCUUGCAACACAGACUCUGUGCUGACAGAGUGGCAGGCAAGCAGGCAGGCAGGCAGGCACCCACUUCCUUCUUCUACUGCCUUCCUCUGGUCACACCUUCUUUGAAAAUUGCGGUUCUCUUUACAAGAAAUUGUUACCAAAGACGAGGACAAAAAAACGAUCACAUGCCCCGAGCAGCUGAUCUCUGUUUCCUGUAUCUGCGUGUCAGCCAAAAUACUGCCUUAUACAGAGACACUGAGAAGAGGCCCCGGCAAGCCAGUUCAAGGACUGGAGGCUUUGUCUUCAGUCGUGCACAUGAAGCCGACAGGAACAGAGUCAGAACUUUGGCUGGAGUUCAAGCUGACCUCGUUGCUCUGUGCAAAUAUCUGCCACUAGAUGGCGAUGGAGACCACUGCACAGGACUGCACAGACAGGAUGGAUACUGUAAAAGCCCAGAGGGUCCUGUACAGUAAAGGGAGCCCUUGUGGAACAAUUCACUGCAAAGGCUUUGGCUUUUUAAUGAUGACGGCGCAGUCCAGACUGGAGACCGGGCACCAGAUUGGGGCGAAAUGACAGCAGCACCUGUGUUUAUGUGGGAUGUGUUGAGCUGGGUGAUUAAAAAUGAAUGUAUUCAAAAAUGGAGGUGUUGCCCCCUGAAACAAGUGAAGUUCCCCAAAAAAGCAUGAUGUGGAAAUAAAAGACAUUCAUAUAUCAUGA